Molecule: ribosomal RNA, 240 nt
Filed under: uncultured bacterium
Lineage: Bacteria
Description: partial 16S ribosomal RNA
Rfam family: Bacterial small subunit ribosomal RNA
Source: RNAcentral
GGGGGCUAGCGUUAUCCGGAUUUAUUGGGUUUAAAGGGUGCGCAGGCUGACCGGUAAGUCAGGGGUGAAACUUUACAGCUUAACUGUAAACGUGCCUUUGAUACUGCCGGACUAGAGUUUAAGAGACGUAAUUGGAAUGUGAUGUGUAGCGGUGAAAUGCUUAGAUAUAUCACAGAACGCCGAUCGUGAAGACAGAUUACGAACUUAAUACUGACGCUCAUGCACGAAAGCGUGGGGAUC